CGCUGGGUCGCCAAGCAACUCUGGGCCGGGGGGGGCGGGCAGCGCGCUUCUGCAAACACAAAAAGGAAUAUGGGGGCCUCACACGUCCCAUAUCCUUUUGCACUGACUUUGCUAAGACCAUCAAACGUGGUUUUCACCCUCCUUUCGUUUCAUUGCCUUCCUGGGAACUUCCAAAACUCCAACCAUCAGCCACUCUUUUCCUUUCUUUUCUGCGCAACCGCUAAGCUGAAAAGGUUUGGGGGACAAGCGUCCUACUUUAUUUCCAAACACUGCAUGUUCUGUAGCUUCACACACUUCUCGUGCAUGCCCCCCCACCCCUCCCAAAAAUGAAUGCUGGGAACUGUAGUUUGCCAAGGGCGGUGUUUCUGCAGCCCUCGUGCUAAAAAGCCCACAAAGCUGCCGAGGGAACCUAUGGUUCCCAGGAUUCUUUGGAGCAAGUCACAUGUUUCCCUCUCAGAGCUACAAAUCUCUGCACCCUUAACCAAAGAGAGUUCUCAAGAUUAUUGGGGGUGGGGAUCAUAUGGCUUAACUGUUUGUUGGGUGUGCAUUAAAUGUACAGUUGUGAUCUGCCCUUAAUGUCAGUUGCUGUGAUUUCCUGAAGGCAUAAGUAUUGUCUUAUUAACAAAUCAAUUCAUAUCUUAUUUUUCUUAGGAGAGAGAAAGAGGGUGAUGCUCCUACUACGGGACUGGCAAUUCUCUCCACAAAAUAUAUGAGUGAUAGCCAACUAAGUCGGGGAGGGGCAACCUGCUCCCCUCCCAAUGCUGUUAGACCCAAACUCCUCUUGUCCCUAAGCAGUGGACAUGCUGGCAGAGGCGGAUGGACACCGGGCUCCAACAACAUCGAGAGGGCCAGAGUUUUCCUGCCCCUAAAUGAAGACAUACUCUGAGUAAAACCAUUUAAAUCAAAGCACUGAAGAAGUGCAUUUAAUUUGGAUAUAUGUUUCUGUGUGUACACUUGUGAACUUGCUAACCCUGGCACAGUUUAGCUCUUCCCUGGAUGCUGCAAGUGGGAAGCCCAACAGAGUGCAGACUGAUACUCCAGCUCAGUCACUGAGGACAUCUGCAGAAGCUUCUUUGGUCAUUUCCCAAGUUGGUGAGGCUCCUUUGACAACAUCAAAAAACUGAGCCUUUAGUGUCACUGGCCCAGUCCUGUGGAACUCUCUGCCACUAGAGAUUCAGUAGGUGCUUUCUGUGCUAACUUUAAAAUGCUUGCUGAAAACUUUUUUUAUUCUGCCAGACCCAUGCAGAGAAUUACAAAUACAUCCUUCCACAAUAGUUAAUUGAUGUCUGCUUUUAACUGUUUGUAGGUUGUAUUGUAUGCUUUUAUGUUUAUAUUACUGUAAACCGCUUUGAUAUCUUUUUAAAUGAUGUACUGGUUUGACUUCACCCUAUGUGCACC
This is a non-coding RNA of Podarcis lilfordi (Lilford's wall lizard), 1398 nucleotides long. The record is from the annotation of a GenBank genome assembly. Lineage: Eukaryota; Metazoa; Chordata; Lepidosauria; Squamata; Lacertidae.